UAUAAAAUGAAGGUAACAGAAAGGUGGAG
RNAcentral lists this non-coding RNA (29 nucleotides) under Rattus norvegicus (Norway rat). Lineage: Eukaryota; Metazoa; Chordata; Mammalia; Rodentia; Muridae. The record is from RNAcentral.